AUUUCGGCUAGAAUAAUAAAUAACGAUAAGGAGAGUGGAAAAGGAAACGCUCCAAACAUGAGUAACUGAAAUCGUCUCCUAUGCUAUGCGUUGCCAUGGUGGUUCUUGCAAGCUCUGCAACUUUCUCCGCCUCUCUUCACACUCGGCUUUCUAACGGAAGCCCUCGUUUUCUUCUCAGCUCCACUAAUUUUCAGGUUUUGCAAUGGAAAUCGAAAUCCCUAACUGUACGAGCUCUAGAAGCUCGAUUAUGGCGUCCUUUGAAUUGCAGGAGUAGAAAUUGCAGUGACUAUGAAGCAUUCGCUCCUAGACAGGAGCUCUUGUUGCUUCAUCCGAUACGGAUUAUCCGGAAAUGCCUCUCGUCUCGCCGAAGCCGACAAGGAGUAAUGAACUGUGCCGAAAAUUUUAGAAACCAUGCGUCCAUUCUUUUUGUCCGGUUGGUUGUUACGGUACUGCUUGUUACCUCAGUUUCGUUUGCCGCCAGCAAUUCGCCCUCUCGGGCGCUCAGUGAAGAGAAUCUUCUAUUCCUCGAGGCGUGGAGAACGAUUGAUCGUGCUUAUGUUGAUAAAACUUUUAAUGGACAGAGUUGGUUUAGGUAUAGAGAAAAUGCUUUGCGGAAUGAACCAAUGAACACGAGAGAAGAGACGUACAUGGCUAUAAGGAAGAUGCUUGCAUCAUUGGAUGAUCCUUUCACUCGGUUUCUAGAGCCUGAAAAGUUUAAGAGUUUGCGGUCUGGAACACAAGGUGCUCUUACUGGUGUAGGGCUUUCAAUAGGCUAUCCUACAGGUUCUGAUGGAUCACCUGCUGGACUUGUUGUUAUUUCAGCAGCUCCAGGAGGUCCUGCUAGUAGGGCUGGAAUUCUAUCUGGGGAUGUUAUUUUGGCAAUAGAUGAUACAAGUACAGAAAGUAUGGGCAUAUAUGAUGCAGCAGACCGGUUGCAGGGGCCUGAAGGAAGUUCAGUGGAAUUGACUGUUCGCAGUGGACCUGAAGUAAAGCAUCUUGCUUUGAUGUAAGAUUGCUGCUUUAUUAUCUCUUAUUUAAUGCUUGUGAACCUUUUUUGUUGGUAGAAAUUUGGUUCCUCUAAUAAUUUCUACCGAGGUUCUUCAUUAUGCUUUGCUGUUGUAAAUUGGGCUACAAUGGGACUAUUCAUAUCACCAUUAUAUUCUGGUGCAUUUUAAACUAACCAACUGCUGCUUCCAGUCGAGAAAGGGUAUCUCUAAAUCCAGUGAAGUCAAGACUCUGUGAAAUUCCUGGCUCAGGAAAGGAUUCUCCUAGGAUUGGGUAUAUUAAACUAUCAUCAUUCAACCAAAAUGCUUCAGGUGGUUUGAGAUAGCUUCUUUUUUUUUUUUAAUAAUUAUUAUAGAAUCAUUCCGGAAUUAUACUGAAAUGUUGCAGAUUACACACUCUUUCAUAUAAAUUUGCUGGUAAUAAACACAUGCACUGGGUAUCUGAAUCUUUUAGAGAAAGUUGAAUGUGUUUGGACAUAGAAAAUGUUUGAAAUAUGUAUAUAUCGUAAGUAUUGAUGUUUAUAUGUUUAAAUUGCAGACCAAUUACAUUUAGCAUGGGCUCAGCAUGAGUAUCUAUUAUGACUUGUUUUGUGUUGUGACUUAUAAAUUAACAGUGGUUAGAAUGAGCUGUUUCUGGAUAUGCAACUUUUGGGAAACUUGUAUUCUGAUUCUAUUGCCCCAUAAAAUUUUUAUUUGGUUCUUGGACUUCCAAUCUGACAUUUUAAACCUUGUAGUUUUGUUGUUCUUGCAAAGUUGACCUGUUGUCAAUUACUCUUACUCUGUUAGAAGUUAAUAUCUACAAGAGACUUAUAUGUUUAAAAACCAACAAGGAUGAUUGUAGGAAAAAUAUGCAGAAAAAUAAGCAAUUUUAGAAAACAAGUAAUUGUUAACUAGAUAUGUGUAUAUCACAUGCGUUAUGCUUUUACAUUUGGAGAAGAAACCUCCUAUUUUAUUCUCCUAUUCAUGCACUCUAUCCUAUCAGAUGUGCUUAGUUUAAUUUCGCUGUGCGAGUCUCAGAUAAAAACUAAAACAGUGAUGAAAUUAAAAGGUUGGAAUAGAUUUUUCUUAUUUUAUUCCUUACUGUUGUUGUGACAAUCACUUCAAGCCAUAGAAAUAAUGAACAUGCAUGCUGAGUGACCUUGUGUUGUGGAAUAGAAUCCAGUGUCUAGCAGACUCUCAUCCCUCCCUCAAACCCCCAUUUCUGUUUGCAUGUACUAGAUGUUGAAUUUACAAAAUUUGAUUCAUUCAACAUGCUCAUUGACAAUUAUUUCUUUUGUAGGUGCUGUCAGGGAAGCUGUUGGUGCUUUACGGAGUAAUAAUGUUAAUGCCUUUGUGUUAGACCUUCGAGACAAUAGGUGAUUAGCUUUCAAUAAUCUACAUUUUAAACUUGGCUGGCAGCUUGUCUGAAAGCUUAAAUUUGCUGCAGUGGUGGUCUAUUUCCAGAAGGAAUUGAGAUUACCAAGAUUUGGUUAGAAAAAGGAGUGAUUGUGUAUAUUUGUGAUAGCCGUGGCGUCCGAGACAUAUAUGAUGCGGAUGGAAGUGGUGCACUUGCAGCUUCAGAACCCUUAGCUGUGCUGGUAUGAAAUAUAUUGAAUUCUUAGAUUGCCAUAGCUUAGCAUCAUGGAAUUGAGAGAAUGCUUUGAGGCUUUACUCAGUCCGUGUGAUUCAGCAGUCACAAACUCUUUUCUCUCUUUCUCAAUUUCUGAUAAAUUAUGUAUUAAAGAAACUUACAUCUCUAAAUUUAUUCAUGCUUCUGCAAAUUGUACCCUUCCUUCUUACUGUUAUUCCAGGCAUAGUGCUAAUCAUUCCACUACCCAAAGUCCCAGAAAUUAUCAUUACAUUCUCUCCUAGGGUAUAUGCCUGGGCAUUGGACUUUAUUCGUAAAGAGUUUAUAUGUUAAAUACGUGCGUGGACUUCCACAUUUUGAUCAGCAAAUUUUUAUUCCAUUGACAUCUUUUUCUUCUGAGUUCCAAUCAAGGUAAAUAAGGGAACCGCAAGUGCAAGUGAAAUAUUAGCUGGUGCAUUGAAAGACAAUAAACGUGCUGUGUUGUAUGGAGAACCCACAUUUGGGAAAGGGUAUCUGCUUCUGCUUCUACGGCAUUUAUGAAUAAUAUUAUUUAUUUCUAAUGGGUGAAUUUAUCCCAUUAUGCAGCAAGAUUCAAUCAGUUUUUCAGCUAUCUGAUGGCUCUGGCUUAGCUGUUACAGUUGCUCGUUAUGAGACCCCUUCUCACACUAAUAUUGACAAGGUCUGUUGUGAUUCUGUGCAUCCGGCUCUGCUUGCAUGUCUGCCUCUCUCAUUACUUUUGUAUUUCUAUGAUGUAGGUUGGUAUUGUUCCUGACCAUCCACUACCCAAAUCAUUCCCCAAGGACGAGGAGAGCUUUUGUGGCUGUCUCCAAGACCCUGCUUCUGCUUGCUACAUUAACAGAGUCCAGCUCUUUGCUCGAUGACAGAUUCUUUUGUGUUUUUGACAUUUUCUUUUGUGGCUGUCUCCAA
This 3498-nucleotide unclassified non-coding RNA is filed under the name Hevea brasiliensis (rubber tree). The record is from RNAcentral. Lineage: Eukaryota; Viridiplantae; Streptophyta; Magnoliopsida; Malpighiales; Euphorbiaceae.